GGUUCAUCCGUCACGUAAUAGUUCCCACAGAUGCAAUGGCUAGAAAAAGUCGACACACCCCUGUUACCGUGGUAGGCUUUUUGUCAUUAAAAAUAAGACCUACAAACUGUACAACUGAAAAUGUUGUUUUUUUGUAUGUCGGUACUCCUUGAGGGUUAAAGUCCGUUGACUUUGUGUUCUACGUGCCGGACUGGCAGGAUGGGGGAUGUGUGGGAGCUUCCUUGUCCGUGUAGAAAGGAUGCAGGCUGAAGACAACACAUGCGAGCAAUGUGAAAGAGGUCAAGGCUUCCUGCUGUCUGGCUGCUAGCGUAAACAUUCAACAUAGCGCAUGAGGAAACGUGGCGGAACAUUUGCUACAGAAGAGGUCUGACAUCAAUCUAGAAGUCGCCGCUGUAGCCGUUUGGCCGACGAGUGAUUCGGCGCAGGCCGAUUGUUUGCGAGGAGGCGGCAAAGCGGCUCAUUUCCAUACAAAUUGCGGCGGUUGUGAAGCCAAGGACGGACGGGUACGAGGAUUUGGAGCUCUGAUGACCAAGCCCGUGGCUGACUUGAGCGCUCUUCUCAUCCACGCUUCCCUCAGCACCUCCAAGCUAGCCGAGCUUCCCUGGAUGAAAAGCACCAAGUUGUCCAUCCAGCCUUGGAAGUGCACC
Molecule: long non-coding RNA, 647 nt
Organism: Syngnathus typhle (broad-nosed pipefish)
Lineage: Eukaryota; Metazoa; Chordata; Actinopteri; Syngnathiformes; Syngnathidae
Exons: 3
Source: RefSeq, a predicted model, not a curated record